UACGGAGGAUCCGGGCGUUAUCCGGAUUUAUUGGGUUUAAAGGGAGCGUAGGCGGGUUGUUAAGUCAGUUGUGAAAGUUUGCGGCUCAACCGUAAAAUUGCAGUUGAUACUGGCAUCCUUGAGUACAGUAGAGGUAGGCGGAAUUCGUGGUGUAGCGGUGAAAUGCUUAGAUAUCACGAAGAACUCCGAUUGCGAAGGCAGCCUGCUGGACUGUAACUGACGCUGAUGCUCGAAAGUGUGGGUAUCAAACAGG
RNAcentral lists this ribosomal RNA (253 nucleotides) under uncultured bacterium. RNAcentral's name for it is "partial 16S ribosomal RNA". It matches the Rfam family "Bacterial small subunit ribosomal RNA", at positions 524 to 776 of the family's 1533-position model. The record is from RNAcentral.